Antechinus flavipes (yellow-footed antechinus) is the source of this 1712-nucleotide long non-coding RNA. RefSeq lists it as uncharacterized. NCBI's taxonomy places the organism in Eukaryota, Metazoa, Chordata, Mammalia, Dasyuromorphia, Dasyuridae. The transcript has 2 exons. The record is from RefSeq and is a predicted model, not a curated record.
AGCUUUCCCUUCCCCACCCUGCACCCUACCCUCUGGGAACAUGCAUAUGUACAACAAGGUGAACCUGAGCCUGACUCACUAGGCCUUGGCUGCCUCUUGGGCUUUGAGGAGCUUUCCCUGAGCAUAGGUGAUUGAACAAUGACACACUUCCAACCCUGAGAGAUUAGGAGCUCCUGGAUCCCCCAGUCAGUGCUGACUGUCCCUGGGGGGGCUGCUCCCUACAACCGUAGUAAUCCUUCUCCAAGGAGGGGGCCACUUACAGAAGGGACUACCCAAGGCAUUGACCUGAUUUGUUGGAAGAUAUAGACCUUGAGGGAGCACAUUACUGACUCAAGAUGAAAUGGCUUUUCAGCAGUGUCACUGUUCCAUGAUUUUUUGUUUUUAAGAAUUAAUCUUGAGAGAGGAUUUUGGGAAAAUAGCAGCGGGUCAGAAAAUCCCAAGAUCUCCAGGUUCCUUUUCAAACAAGACAAAAGAGCAGCAAAAGUAAAUGAGAGUUGGGGCAGAACAACGAUUCUCCUGGGACAACUGGAGAAGAUUGAAGAAACAUCCCGGGACGAAGGUUCAGCUGAGUGAAGUGUAAAUCUCUCCCGAAGCAUCAAGAGGAGGCUCUACAAUGUUCCAGGGCUUAAUGUAAGCAGCAUAAUGAAAUCCACAAACAAGAACAGCUGAAGGACCUCACCAUCCAUAGGGAAGCUGUCUCCAAAUUGAACUCUUCACUGGAUCUCGAUCAAAACAGCUACACCUUUGGCAAGUAUAUUGGCUCCCUGUUUUGUGUCUUACAAGAUGUUUACAAUCCUUGGGUUAUUGAAUAAGAAUAUUUCUAUUCUACAAGGAAUCUUGAAUGACUUUGGUGAAUGGAUGGGAGACACCACGCUGGAAAUAAGUCUUUAAGGAAUACAUUUUGUAUUAAAAAAUUAAAUUCUCUUUCCAUAGUGAUUGAAUGAUAAACAAACAAGCAUUUAUUAAGCACUUAGAAUUUGCCAGGCACUGUAUUAAGUGCUGGGAAUGCAAAUAGAAGAAAGCAAAACACUUUCAUGGAGCUGGAGGAAAAUAACACAUAAAGGGAGCUAGAAAGAAAGAAGAGGAAGGAUACACAUUCAUGGGGCAUGGUUUGGAAAUGACUGAAAAGUAAGUUGGAGGCCUGUUUAGGGGCAAGAGAAGGUCAAAGUUUACCUAUAAGAGUUCAGAGAGAUUCCAGGAAGAGUCUAAAGUUCUAGUGGGUAAGAAUGAGUCCAGUGAGGAAAAUUAGGGCAAUGACCAAUUUGCAGGUGGCCUAGUGUUUGGGAAUAAAAAGAUAAAAAUAAAAUACAAGUGUCCCUGAUCUCAAGGAAUUUAUUAUUGGUUCUACUAUUCCAACUGAAGUUCAUUGGGAAGCCCAUUUAAUCAAUGGUGCGGCACUAGAAACCCCUACAUCUCCAGUUUCAUCAGGAACCAUUGAAAUAUGUCUUCAAGCAAACAUUAAACAUAGGCCCAAAGGAGGCUAAAAAUGGCUACUGGGGAAGAAGUGGUCAAAGCUUCAAAUCCACUGAACAUUGUCAGCAAAAUUUUAAGGCUUGAGGUAGACUGGGAAGUGGUGGUUUAACAUACAGCUGCCCCUAAAAAUUAUUUCAGCUGCUCUUAAGCACUUCAAAGUAAAAGCAAACAAACUUUUGGAUGCAGAAAAAAAAAGAUAAAACUCAAGCAUUUUAAAUAAAGAAGAAAGCCUUUUUCCA